Molecule: ribosomal RNA, 506 nt
Filed under: uncultured bacterium
Lineage: Bacteria
Description: partial 16S ribosomal RNA
Rfam family: Bacterial small subunit ribosomal RNA
Source: RNAcentral
ACUCAAAGGAAUUGACGGGGGCCCGCACAAGCGGUGGAGCAUGUGGUUUAAUUCGACGCAACGCGAAGAACCUUACCUGGGCUCGAACGGCUUCCUAACGGCCGGUGAAAGCCGGCUAUCCCGCAAGGGAGUGGAGUCGAGGUGCUGCAUGGCUGUCGUCAGCUCGUGUCGUGAGAUGUUGGGUUAAGUCCCGCAACGAGCGCAACCCUUGUCCUGUGUUGCAACGUCCCUCAAAAGGGGAUGGCACUCUCAGGAGACCGCCAGCGAUAAGCUGGAGGAAGGUGGGGAUGACGUCAAGUCAUCAUGGCCUUUAUGUCCAGGGCUACACACGUGCUACAAUGGGCGGUACAAAGCGGCGCAAACCCGCGAGGGGGAGCAAAUCGCAAAAAACCGCUCUCAGUUCGGAUUGCAGGCUGCAACUCGCCUGCAUGAAGCUGGAAUCGCUAGUAAUGGCGCAUCAGAACGGCGCCGUGAAUACGUUCCCGGGCCUUGUACACACCGCCCGU